GAUGAACGCUGGCGGCGUGCCUAAUACAUGCAAGUCGAGCGAAAAGACGAGGAGCUUGCUCCUCUGACGUUAGCGGCGGACGGGUGAGUAACACGUGGAUAAACUAACUCUAAGACUGGGGUGACUUCGGGAGACCGGAGCUACGACCGGAAAAUAUAUUGCACCGCAUGGUUCACUCGUUAAAGACGGUUUUUGUGUCACUUAUAGCUGGCUCCGCGCCGCAUUAGCUAGUUGUGAAGGUAAAGGCUUACCAAGGCAACGAUGCGUAGCCGACCCGAGAGGGUGAUCGGCCACACUGGAACUGAGACACGGCCCACACUCCUACGGUAGGCCGCAGUAGGGAAUCUUCCGCAAUGGGCGAAAGCCUGACGGAGCAACGCCGCGUGAGUGCUGAAGGUCUUCGGAUCGGAAAACUCUGUUAGUAUGGAAGAACAAAUGUGUAAGUAACUAUGCACGUCUUGACGGUACCUAAUCAGAAAGCCACGGCUAACUACGUG
This 497-nucleotide ribosomal RNA is filed under the name uncultured bacterium. RNAcentral describes it as "partial 16S ribosomal RNA". It matches the Rfam family "Bacterial small subunit ribosomal RNA", at positions 28 to 507 of the family's 1533-position model. The record is from RNAcentral.